RNAcentral lists this ribosomal RNA (592 nucleotides) under uncultured bacterium. RNAcentral describes it as "bacterial SSU rRNA". It matches the Rfam family "Bacterial small subunit ribosomal RNA", at positions 270 to 873 of the family's 1533-position model. The record is from RNAcentral.
AAGGCGACGACGGGUAGCCGGCCUGAGAGGGCGACCGGCCACACUGGGACUGAGACACGGCCCAGACUCCUACGGGAGGCAGCAGUGGGGAAUAUUGCGCAAUGGGCGAAAGCCUGACGCAGCGACGCCGCGUGGGGGAUGAAGGCCUUCGGGUUGUAAACCCCUUUCGGCAGGGACGAAGCGAAAGUGACGGUACCUGCAGAAGAAGCGCCGGCUAACUACGUGCCAGCAGCCGCGGUAACACGUAGGGCGCAAGCGUUGUCCGGAAUCAUUGGGCGUAAAGAGCUCGUAGGCGGUCUGUUGCGUCCGCUGUGAAAACUCGGGGCUUAACCCCGAGCUUGCAGUGGAUACGGGCAGACUAGAGGUAGGUAGGGGAGAAUGGAAUUCCCGGUGUAGCGGUGAAAUGCGCAGAUAUCGGGAGGAACACCGGUGGCGAAGGCGGUUCUCUGGGCCUUACCUGACGCUGAGGAGCGAAAGCGUGGGGAGCGAACAGGAUUAGAUACCCUGGUAGUCCACGCCGUAAACGUUGGGCGCUAGGUGUGGGGUCCUUCCACGGAUUCCGUGCCGCAGCUGACGAAUUAAGUUGCUCACA